UUCGGCCCGCACCCUGCAUCAGGUUGCCCCUUCAAGCCGUCGCCGACGCACUUCCUAUUCGAAUUUCAAUGCGAUCCUGUCGUCACUCUGCGGCACGGC
Regulatory RNA element from Pseudomonas knackmussii B13, 99 nucleotides. It matches the Rfam family "Pseudomon-Rho RNA". The record is from Rfam. Lineage: Bacteria; Pseudomonadati; Pseudomonadota; Gammaproteobacteria; Pseudomonadales; Pseudomonadaceae.